Molecule: transfer RNA, 85 nt
Filed under: Herbidospora solisilvae
Lineage: Bacteria; Bacillati; Actinomycetota; Actinomycetes; Streptosporangiales; Streptosporangiaceae
Description: Herbidospora sp. NEAU-GS84 tRNA-Leu
Source: RNAcentral
GGAUGACUAAGCCCGACUUAGAUCGACCCGCGAAAUUUCCCUGACACGGAAGAGGUCACAGGUUCAAUCCCUGUAUCGUCCACCA